Oncorhynchus mykiss (rainbow trout) is the source of this 475-nucleotide non-coding RNA. Lineage: Eukaryota; Metazoa; Chordata; Actinopteri; Salmoniformes; Salmonidae. The record is from RefSeq and is a predicted model, not a curated record.
CAGUGAUCUACCUGAGAGGGAGGAAGGAGAGGGAGAGGAGACCCCUGCCUUCAGUCACUGGGGACCCCCACGCAGAGUGGAGGUGUGGCAGGAGGAUGGCGAGUCUCUUGGCAUCAGCAUCGUGGGCGGGCACAGCGUCAUCAAGAGACUGAAGAAUGGAGAGGAACUCAAGGGCAUCUUUAUCAAACAGGUACUGCCGGAGAGCCCAGCGGGACGCACUCGCUCCCUCAAGACUGGAGACAAGAUAGUGCAGGUAUCAGGUGUGGACCUCCAGAAUGCCAGUCAUGAGGAGGCAGUCCAGGUCAUCAAGACAGCUCCCAGUCCCGUGGUCUUCACCGUUCAGAGCCUCUCUGCCACGCCAAGGCCUGUCUCACUAACGGGGCCCAGUUACAGAAAACACAAGGCAAAGAGCAGAGUCAUGCCGGUAAGCAGCCACACACUUUCUGAGGACAUUUGAUGGUGGUGAAAAUGUCAC